CCGAAAGGCGUAGUCGAUGGGAAACAGGUUAAUAUUCCUGUACUUGGUGUUACUGCGAAGGGGGGACGGAGAAGGCUAUGUUAGCCGGGCGACGGUUGUCCCGGUUUAAGCAUGUAGGCUGAUUGUCCAGGCAAAUCCGGAUAAUCAAGGCUGAGGUGUGAUGACGAGGCACUACGGUGCUGAAGUAACAAAUGCCCUGCUUCCAGGAAAAGCCUCUAAGCAUCAGGUAACAUUAAAUCGUACCCCAAACCGACACAGGUGGUCAGGUAGAGAAUACCAAGGCGCUUGAGAGAACUCGGGUGAAGGAACUAGGCAAAAUGGUGCCGUAACUUCGGGAGAAGGCACGCUGGUGUGUAGGUGAAGUCCCUGCGGAUGGAGCUGAGACCAGUCGAAGAUACCAGCUGGCUGCAACUGUUUAUUAAAAACACAGCACUGUGCAAACACGAAAGUGGACGUAUACGGUGUGACGCCUG
RNAcentral lists this ribosomal RNA (473 nucleotides) under Klebsiella pneumoniae. Its description in RNAcentral is "bacterial LSU rRNA". It matches the Rfam family "Bacterial large subunit ribosomal RNA", at positions 1402 to 1861 of the family's 2925-position model. The record is from RNAcentral. Lineage: Bacteria; Pseudomonadati; Pseudomonadota; Gammaproteobacteria; Enterobacterales; Enterobacteriaceae.